GCCACUCAUUCAAAAAGCAUUUGUGAGGUUCAUACUCUGAUUUAGAUUUUGUGCAAAUGCUACAAAUUGAAAAAGACUGAAGCAUGCAUUGGAACAUUAAGAACCUGCGAGAAUAACUGUGGAAAUUUAAAACGUCAUCGUAGUGAGAUGUUUUCUGAUGAAUUUUAAAACAAGAGGAAACAUCUCUCAGGCAGAUAAGUGGGGAUAGAAUAGUGGUGGUAGAGGAGUUAAUUCCAAACAGAGUAACUAGCAUGGGAAAAGGCAAGUGGAGUGCAACACAGCAAGUGUAGAAGAAAUCAUAACAUGAGCGAAGCAUAAGAUUCAAGUGGAGUUGGAGACAGUAAGCACUGAAGAUGAAAAGGGACGUGGAUGAAUCUGGAGAACGUCAUCCUCAGCAAACUGACACAAGAACAGAAAAUGAAACACCGCAUAUUCUCACUCAUAGAGGCAGGGUCUUGCUAUGUUGUCCAAGCUAGUCUUAAACUCCUGGGCUCAAGUGAUUCUUUGGCCACAACCCCCAAUUCCUGGGAUUAUAGGUGGGAAUUAAUUCAAAAAUAAAUAUAAAAAUAAUAUUUGAAAUUUUCGUUCUUUGUGCAAAGAGAUAAAGAUCCAUACAUUGGCUCAUCCAUACAUUCAUCUAUUCAUUCAUUCUUUCAUUUAUUAGUGUUUAGGCACCUAUUAGGUACUGCAAAUACAGUAGCUAAAAAGACAUACAGAUU
RNAcentral lists this long non-coding RNA (719 nucleotides) under Callithrix jacchus (white-tufted-ear marmoset). Its description in RNAcentral is "lncRNA (ENSCJAG00000073982.1)". Lineage: Eukaryota; Metazoa; Chordata; Mammalia; Primates; Cebidae. The record is from RNAcentral.